This 1859-nucleotide long non-coding RNA is filed under the name Homo sapiens (human). RNAcentral describes it as "non-protein coding lnc-PPM1D-1:13". Lineage: Eukaryota; Metazoa; Chordata; Mammalia; Primates; Hominidae. The record is from RNAcentral.
GGCACCUGUAAUCCCAGCUACUCGGGAGGCUAAGGUAGGAGAAUCGCUUAAACCAGGGAGUUGGAAGUUGCAGUGAACCAAGAUCGCGCCACUGCACUCCAGCCUGGGCAACAAGAGUGAGACUUUGUCUCAAUUAAAAAAAAAAAUCCUUUAUAAUAAACUGGUAAAUGUAAGUAAGCAUUCCCCUGAGCUGUGAGCCACUCUAGCAAAUUAAUCAAACCCAAGAAGAGCGACAUGAAAACCCUGAUUUAUAGCCAGUCCGUCAGAAGCACAGGUAAAACAUCCUGGGGCUUGCAAUUGGCAUUUGUUGGCAUCAAAAGUUGGGGGCAGUCUUGUGGGACUGAGCCUUCAACCUGUGGGAUCUAAUGCUUUCUCCAAGUAGAUACUGUCUGAAUUGAACUGGAGGAUACCCAGCUGGUGUCUGCUGCAGAAUUGAUUGAUUGCUUGAUGUGUAGGGGGAAAAAAUCCACAUAUGCUGGUGUUGCAAGCAUGUUAUGAGGGUACAGUAGGAAAAACUAAGUUUGUUUUUCUGCUCAUACAUACCCUGACAAAGCCCAAGCCUCGUGGAAGGCUACAUGUAAACACUCUGGUCAGCAGCUCCAGAGCACAGCCCUUGAGUCAUCCCAGCCCAGCUACCAGAUGUUUAAGUGAAGAACCUGUAGACGAUUCCAACUGUAAGACAUUUGAGUCACCCUUUAUUUUGUCCCACUGAACCUAUAGCUUGGGUCACCCCAAAAGUGGAGGCAAGAAUGUUCCCACAAAGUGCUCCAAACCAUCUCAAGAUGGGGCUGAUUGGGAUUCACAAGAAAGAAGCACAAAAUGCCAGGGUGAUCAGUCCAAAGCAAUUAUUAGUGGAACUUAGAUGCAGAGUGCUGCCUCAUAUCCUCAUGACAGAGGGCAAGAGAAAAAGAAUGUUCUACCCGGGUAUGUCUGCAGCAAAGGGGUCAAAGCAUAGAGUUUACAUGAGGGUUUUAGGAAUUUGACUCAGUGCUGGGGCUGGUUUCUUUCUAGUAAACCUAAUUACCUUUAUCAGGGCCUGGGGACAUUCAAGGCCACAGUUUGAAUUCAAGCUUGCUGGGAAAAACAUACAGCUGGCAGAAUCACAGAGUGGUCAAGACACUCUGAUUUUUGGUCAGGACACAGAAAGUGGGGGAAACUGGGAGACCCUAUACCUUCAGUCUUCCUAGAUGAGGGCCCAGCAUCAUGGAGCUGAAACAAGCAUCCCUGCUGUGCUCUGUUUGAAUUCCUUACUCACAAAAGCAUAAUAAAAUGGUAGUUCAUUUAUAUCACAAAUGUUGGGGGUGGUUUGUUAUGCCAAAAUAGAUAACUGGAACACCCCAUCCCAAUCCUCUAAAGUUCCCAGGAACUCAUUGUCUUAGACUCCAUAAUUUUCAGGGAUACAUAUCACUAAGCAUGCGGAUACAUUCAUGAAAAUGAAAAUUCAGGCCGGGUGCAGUGGCUUACGCCUGUAGUCCCAGCACUUUGGGAGGCUGAGGCGGGUGGAUCAUUCAAGGUCAGGAGUUCAAGACCAGCUUGGCCAACAUGGUGAGACCCUGUCUCUACUAAAAAUAUAAAAAUCAGCCGGUCAUGGUGGCGCAUGCCUGUAAUCCCAGCUACUUGGGAGGCCGAGGGGCGAGAAUCACUUGAACCUGGGAGGCAGAGGUUGCAAUGAGUCGAGAUCGCACCGCUACACUCCAGCCUGGGUAACAAAAUGAGACCCCAUCUCAAAAAGAAAAGAAAAGAAAAUGAUAGGAUUCGUAGCCUAUACUAGACAACUUUCAUAGUUUACAGACUAUGACUCUGCUACACUUUAAAGAGUGAACUAGGCCAGGCACAGUGGCUCAUGCUUGUAAUCCCAG